Molecule: long non-coding RNA, 1109 nt
Organism: Silurus meridionalis
Lineage: Eukaryota; Metazoa; Chordata; Actinopteri; Siluriformes; Siluridae
Exons: 3
Source: RefSeq, a predicted model, not a curated record
AACACUUUACACUGCAUUUGCUUGCAGUAAUAAAACCUGCAUAAACUUGACAUUCCCGAGAGAAGACAUCUGGCUUCCGAGAGCUUGGGUUUUCUUCUAAACUGCCCACGAACACUUCACAAGCGAAAGAUCUUCACAUCAGCGUGUUCCAUUUCCUGGUUUACGUUUAAGAUAUGAUCAGAACCCAAAUGCAGACUACUGUACAUGUAACCGAUCAUUUUCCGUCUGAUCCGAUUCUCUAUUGCAGUUCGGUCACAUGGUGCCAGCAUGUCACUUCCUGCCUCAACAUCGUCCUGAAGUCCUCUGGCACUGACGCCACCCUGCACACUGUUCAUCGAGUACGAAAGUUCAGCGACUGAUCGUUGGCUUGUAGUGACAUCAUCAUAUCCUGGACUGCAAGUUUUAACUCAUGGACCAGAUUCCGAGUUCAGAAUGUGAUCAGAUAUUGGCGGAUGUUCUCCAGAGCUAUGCUGUGUUUGAAUCGUAGAGACGCUUUAGAAUCAGCACAACUACAGUUGCUCAGAGAAGUGAAAGGCCCAGGGAUGUGUGUGUGUGUGUGUGUGUGUGUGUGUGUGUGUGUGUGUGUGUGUGUGUGUGUGUGUGUUACAGGCCUCCUUCAGGCAGUGAAAGCCAGCAGAUGGAGAGGCUGAAAACAUGCAGACAAUCAGAUCGACAGCAGAAUGAACACAGGAAUGAAAAAUGAAUUGAUUGAAAACUGUUGACAGCUGUGAUGGAGGACGUGAUUGGUCGGAAGUGGACAUGAUUGGUCUGGGGUGGACAUGAUUGGUCGAUGGAGGACGUGAUUGGUCAGAGGUGGACGUGAUUAGUUCAAGGUAUCGUAAAAACACAGCUCUACCUGAACGAGACUUGGUAUUGAAUGAGAACGCUACUGAUUCUGUACAAGCUGAAAGAACAAACUGGUUCAGGAAUAAAGUGGAAAUUAUCUGUUGUGAAAGAAACAAGUCAGAGAUGAAGAGGUUCAGAAGAAGAAGGAGGAACCAUGCUAUAAAGAGACUGUAUCACUGAAGAGGUUUUUUUUGCAUGAAACAAUUUACAAAUAUAUAAAGACGGAUGAUUAUUUAAGAUAAUAAACAUGACGUCCACUGAAA